GUGGUUCUUCUUUCAUAUCCAUAACACCUGUGCACUGUUGGAUGCUUGCAUCCACUUUUAAACUAAACAUUAUUGUAACAAAUGUAGUCUUAUUAUAACAUAAUAAAACUUUCAACAACGGAUCUCUUGGCUCUCGCAUCGAUGAAGAACGCAGCGAAAUGCGAUAAGUAAUGUGAAUUGCAGAAUUCAGUGAAUCAUCGAAUCUUUGAACGCACCUUGCGCUCCUUGGUAUUCCGAGGAGCAUGCCUGUUUGAGUGUCAUGAAACCCUCAAACCCAAGUUUUGGAUUUCGAUCCAUGCUUGAGUUUGGAUUUGGAUGUUUGCCGGUGAUGAACCGACUCAUCUUAAAAGUAUUAGCUUGGAUCUGUCUAUAUGACUGGUUUGACUUGGCAUAAUAAGUAUUUUGCUGAGGACAUCUUCGGAUGGCCAGGACCUA
This 435-nucleotide small RNA is filed under the name fungal sp. saru-2. Its description in RNAcentral is "eukaryotic LSU rRNA". The stretch from base 107 to 260 matches the Rfam family "5.8S ribosomal RNA". Lineage: Eukaryota; Fungi. The record is from RNAcentral.